AGUGACUCUGUUCAACGGCCGCGGUAUCCUAACCGUGCGAAGGUAGCGUAAUCACUUGUUCUUUAAAUGAGGACUAGUAUGAAUGGCACCACGAGGGUUACACUGUCUCCUUUUUCUAAUCAGUGAAACUAAUCUCCCCGUGAAGAAGCGGGGCAUGAAUUUAUAAGACGAGAAGACCCUAUGGAGCUUUAGACUUAAUAACACUCGCUUUUAAACAAUUACACUUCAGAGUAAUAAACAUUUAUCUUAGCUUUUUGAUUAUUAGUUUUAGGUUGGGGUGACCGCGGAGCAAAAAACAACCUCCACAUUGAACGGGGGAACACCCCCUGAGCUACGAGCCACAACUCUAUGCACCAAUAAAUUGACAUUACUUGACCCAAUAUAUUGAUCAACGAACCAAGUUACCCUAGGGAUAACAGCGCAAUCCGCUUAAAGAGCUCCUAUCGACAAGCGGGUUUACGACCUCGAUGUUGGAUCAGGGUAUCCCAGUGGUGCAGCCGCUACUAAAGGUUCGUUUGUUCAACGAUUAAAACCCUACGUGAUCU
This 545-nucleotide ribosomal RNA is filed under the name Hyla meridionalis (Mediterranean treefrog). RNAcentral's name for it is "partial 16S ribosomal RNA". It matches the Rfam family "Bacterial large subunit ribosomal RNA", at positions 1913 to 2606 of the family's 2925-position model. The record is from RNAcentral. Lineage: Eukaryota; Metazoa; Chordata; Amphibia; Anura; Hylidae.